Molecule: long non-coding RNA, 10039 nt
Filed under: Medicago truncatula (barrel medic)
Lineage: Eukaryota; Viridiplantae; Streptophyta; Magnoliopsida; Fabales; Fabaceae
Description: long non-coding RNA (MTRU_LNC003171)
Source: RNAcentral
ACUCGUGUUUUUCUUCUUUAAUCAUUUUAAAAAAACUUUUAUCUGCAUUUUUAUAACUGUUGGAGCGCAUUUUAUAAUCUUGUUAGUCAUAAUAAUCAAGUCAUUUUAAAAGGUUUAAUCAUAUUUUAAAAAUCGCGUCCUUUUAAUCAUUUCAACCGAAAUUUCGGCAGGAAGGAUACUUUGAAGUACCUCAUGUCAGGUUUCGAAAGGACUUUUUAUUUUUUAUAUUUUAGUUUGUUUAUUAGUAUUUUUAUUUUAUUAAUUUUUUUUUUUUUUUUAAAAAAAAAAACAAAGAAAGGAAAGUCACGUGAGUGACUUUCUUUCUUCCUUCCUCUUUUCUUUUCUUUUUCUUAUUUAUUUAUUUAUUUCUUUGUUAAAGUCUUUUUCUCCAAGUCUCAGCUGCAGGGACAUUUUGGUCUUUGUUUUGUACCAGAGCCAACCCUAGUUUGUCACUAUAAAAACCCUGUCAAUCAUUGAGAAAUGGGUCAGAGAAAAAAUCACUGUAGCAGCUGCAGCAACCACCAUAAGAAACCCUAAUCUUUCAUCUCUCCCAACUUUUUCAGAUCAAAGAAAAAAUAAAAAAAUACACAACAAUCAUCAUGAAUAUUCAUAGCCAUGCAUCAUGAACAUUAUCCUCUUCCAUUCUAGGAACCAAAAUUCUUCAUAAUAAUAAACCAACAAAAACACUUUCUCACAAAAAUCAUCAAUAAACAAGUCACAUAACACCACAAUCACAAACAACAUCACACAAUCACAACAAAAAAAAAAAACUUGCGCCGGACCGGAUUCAGGGGAGGAAACCGAACCGGAAAAGGAAAGAAACGGAACGGAGGAAGCCACCAGACCAAAGGGAGAAAACCGGAUCGGAGAGAGAGAGAGGUAGUUUUUUUUUGCUCAUUUUCUUUGAAUAUUCUUUGUUAGAUCUAGGCUUGUAGAAGCUUGUUUUCAAAAAUCUAAGUUGGGAUUCAUGCAAAACAAGAAAAAGGAUUUCUAAAAACGUAAAAAAAUUUCAAAACGGAGGAGUUUUGGUUGCUCCGGCGCGGCGGCGCCGCCUGUUGGCCGGCAGCCACCACGCCGGAAAGUCAUAGCUUGGCCGGAGAAGAAGGCUGCAAUUGCAGACCUUCUCUCACUAGAAAUUUUUAGAGAGAGGGAGGAAAGGAAAAAUAGAAAAAAACGGUCCCUAUUGCCUUUUAUAAGCAUGUGUGAACCGGUCUGGUUCACUUGAACCGGACCGGUCCAUUUGAUUCCUUUCACCUUUCUUUCUAAACCUUUAGAUCCUUUUCUUUUUUUUAAUCCGACGGUCUAGAUUAGUUCCUGUUGAGUCAUUUUUUUUAUUUCCUUUUGUCUUUAUUUUUAAAUACUAUUUUUACAUUUUUUUUGACAUUUUUGUGCUUAGAAAAAAUUCCAAAAAAAAAUAUUUUUCUCCCUAUUUUAAUUUUCUCUAAUUUUAAAAAUCCAUCCUAUUUGUUUUCUUUUAAUUUUUUGUUUAUUUCUUAUAUGAUGAUAUUAAUUAUUAUUUGUCUUAAUUCUUGCUCAUUAUUUCUUAUGUCUCAUUCAUCAUAAUAUUUCUUGUGAUUACUAACCAUUUAAUUUUUGUCUUGAAUCAUAGCAUGCACAUUUAAUUUUCUCAUCAUUUUAUUUUGUCAUUGACUUAGUAUGUAUAAAUAGGGAAUUGAUGUAAUUUUAUUUCUCGCAUUUUUAUUUUGGCAUAAAGGCCUUAGGGUUGUAUUUAGGAAUUGAUGUAAUAAUGUAGGUAACACAAGCACCGACACAUGCACCGACACUACCACAUCUUAUUUACCGCUUUCCGUUAAUUUUUUACGACGUUACGUUAGUUUUCACCGUUAGUUUAGAAAAAAAUCAUUUUUUAUAAAAAAAAUCAAAUAUGUCAAAUUCAAAAAUCUUUUCUUCUUAGCAAUAUUUUCUCUUUAUUUUCUUAAUCAAAUUUUUAAUCAAUUUUAAUUCAACUUCAAUCAUUUUCAAAAUUUAAAAUCAAUCAACCUCACUCAUUUCUUUUAUCUCAUGCCUUGAGGCCUCUUUCUCUUCUUAAAACCAUUUUCAAAAAAUCUUAAAAUCAACCUAACCCACCAAAGAAAUUUUUGAGGUGAACUACAUUGGUUUUGAUCCCUUUUUCUUUAAGGGUAUGUAGGCAUAGGAUUUUUAUCCUUCCAAAUCAAAUAAAAAUAACUAAAAGCAUACUUCUUCUCCCUCCAUUCUUUCACUUAGACAUUAGGCAAUAAUUUUUCAAAUAAACAAGUAGCUUAGCACAAGAUAAUCUAGGUAAGAGGUUCCUACGGAAUACCGUAGAUGCUUAGGGUGCUAGCACCUUCCCUUCGCAUAACCAACCCUCGAAUCCAAAGUCUCGAAAAGGGUUUUUACUCAUUUUUUCCUUCCCAAGAAUAAAAAUUGAGAGUUCAAAGAUCGACGAUUCAAAUCAAUUAAUGGUUUGACAUCCGAAAAUCGCGAGCACAGAAAUGGCGACUUCACUGGGGACUUAGAUCCUACGCGGGUUAAACCCACCUUACUUUCUUUAUUUUGUGCUUUAUUAUUUGUUUAUAUCUUGUAAAUAUUUGCUUACAUGUUUACCUUAUUACGUGAGGGGUGAGAAAAUAAGCUCUACACCCGAGCUUGAGGGAAAUGUAAGAUAGGAGUGGUAGACUCAUAGUGGCAUACCGAGAGUAUACUCGUGUCUUGUCACACGUGAGAUAACCACACUUAGCAAAGGAGAUUGAAGUAAUAAAUGUCGGCGUGUGUUUUCACGUUUAGACUUUAUUACUUUUAAUCUUCCAAUGAAGCUAAGAACCUUUAGUAACCCUUAACCCAUCUUGGCCUUUUAGGACGUAGUGCGGUGGCUAACCGGGUGUUUUCUCGGAAUUAGUCGAUACGCGAUACUACACUCAAAUGAGACUUUCCUACGAACGUUGCUGGACCGGGUGUUUUCUCGGUAUCCGAUAAUAUUCGGAAGUGGUCGAGGACUUUGGGAACCUUGGUAGAACCCGUGAUACAGGUACAUUUGAAACCAUAGUCCUUACCGAAUGGCGUUGUUACCCUCGACUCCAACAUGUGGACUUAACAUCACCAUGUAUUCUAUGUACUUUAGCAUAACCAUGCAUACAUGCAUUCAUUCAUAAACAACUUUUUUCCAUCAAAAAUUGAAGGACUUAGACAAGUUUUUUGCAAACAUCAUGGGUAUGGACUUUGUAAGAAUGAACACCAAGAGAUACAACUUCAAAAAAAUCUUAACUAAACUUUAGCUUUUGUUAAGAACUUUUUCUUUGGUUUCGAUCUUACCUUUCGAAAAAGAACCUUUUGCAAUAUCUUCAUAAUUUUCAAAUGAAACCAUGUUUCUCUACCAUGUUUAAAAAUUAACUUUGAUAAGUCCUUCAAAAAAAAAAAAACAUUUUUGCAUACAUAUAUCAUGCAUCAUUUUUUUUUCAUUCAUAGUUUCUAGUUUGUGUCUCAUACUGUAUCUUCUCCAUAAAAGGUCUAUCCGUCGGUCUAAUCGCAUCUACAACACUCGAGCAAAUCAGAAUGGAUCAUCUUGAAGAAGAGAACCACAAGCUUCGUGAAGAGGUGACAACCCUCCGGGCCGAGAAUGAGAUUUUAAGGAACUUAGUAUCUUUGAUGACGAUGGCACAGAGACAACCAUUAUCUCAUCCUGUUGUCAGCACUCAGGCUCAGACGGUUGCUUCCACUACCCCGAUUUCAACAGUGUUUGCUAGUAGUCCUCAACAUGCUAUGCUUGAAGGUUAUCUAUGGGGCACACCCUUUGGUUCUAGUGAAGUAUUUCGUCCUGAUGACUCUAAGGUUCAAGCUCCUUUUGUGCAACUGACAACGCCUAUCCCUCAACCGGGUCCUUUGUUCCCUCAAGCUGCUAUGAUUCAUACUACUCAACAAGGCCAUAAACCAAUCUAUCAUUCAGGAAAGGUGGUUGCAUACGACCGGACAGCUGAGCUGGAAGAAAGGUUUGACAGAAUACAAUUGGAAUUGAAAACUCUUCGUGGGAAAGAACUGUUUGGGAAAAAUGCUUAUGAUCUUUGCUUGGUUCCCAAUGUCGUGAUACCACCCAAGUUCAAAGUCCCUAAUUUUGAGAAAUACCAAGGAAACACUUGUCCUGAGCUUCAUUUGGUAAUGUACGUGAGAAAGAUGUCUGCUCAAGUAGGUAAUGAUGAGCUCCUUAUCCACUGUUUCCAAGACAGUUUGACUGGUGCCGCACUGAUAUGGUAUAUGGGCCUACACAAGGUUGAUAUCAAAACGUUCAAUGAUUUGUGUGAGGCUUUCGUCCAGCGAUAUAACUACAACUUGCAUUUAGCCCCAAACAGAAAGGAACUGCAAGCCAUGACCAUGAGUGAUAAUGAAUCUUUCAAAGCUUAUGCCCAACGGUGGAGAGACGUCGCUGCACAGGUUCGUCCACCUCUAGAAGAGAAAGAAUUUACCGAGAUUUUCCUGGAGACUCUGGAUCAGUUCUAUUAUGAGCAUAUGCUUACAAGUGCAUCCGGCAGCUUCGUAAACAUGAUGACUGUGGGCAUGCGUAUUGAAGAAUGGGUCCGAAAAGGACAAUUGGUCAAAGAAAGUGCUCCCACAGAUGAUUUUGAGUACGAAGAUCAGGAAAUGAGUGUGGUAGAAAGUCAGCCUCAACAACAGUAUCUGGCUUUUCACCCUGCUGCCGCUGUUAUGCCUAUCAUAGAUGUUGUUCAAAGUUCGGGUUAUCAACCCCAGUUUCAACAAUAUCAACAACAGCCUCGACAACAGGCCCCAAGGACACAGAUUGAUCCUAUUCCCAUGAAGUAUGCAGAUUUGUUUCCAAAGUUGCUCGAAAGGAAUUUGGUUUACACCAAGGCACCUCCUCCAAUGCCAGCAAAGUUGACAUCCCGGUACAGGCCCGACCUCUUUUGUGCUUUCCAUCAAGGGGCACCAGGUCAUGAUAUUGAGCACUGCUUUGCAUUGCAGAAGGUAGUUCAGAAGUUGAUCCAAAAAAACCUCAUACCUUUCGAAGAGUUUGAAUUUGAAUAUGCAAGUUAAUCCGCUAUCGGAUUUUUACACCUUGUGUUGACUUGUGGAAUGUUUAGCUGCAAUUGGUUCUUUACUGAUGUUUAUUUCUAAUACUCUUUUGUUCAAUUAAUAUGUUUGUUUGUUGCUUUAUGUUUUUUCAAAAAAAAUCCUUUUGUCCCACCCGAGAUGAAAGUGAAUUCAUCUAGGGCUUUUUGCUUUAUGUAUUUUCAUCAUUAGUGAAAGGUCGCUUGAUCCCGACUUUGUUUUAUUUUGUGCUUUUUCUGGAAAAAUGGUAAUACAAAAAACCAAAAAAAAAAAAAAGAAUCCUUUUCUUUAAUCAUUUCCACAUAUCUGCAUAAUCAUAAUGUUUAUAUCAAUAAUCAAAUCAUGCAUUAAUAAACCCGUUGAACACUUUAAUCAUAUGCUCCCUCUCGACCUUGAGUUCCUUGUAUCCGAGGCUGAAUAAGAGGAUGAUGAAGAAGCUUCCACUGAGAUUUCUCGCCUACUGGGGCAUCUUGGCCGUCGAAGCUGCAAAUAUCAAAAGAGAUUGUCUAGAAGAGGACUUUCAUGUACAAAGACUGGCACGAGAUGCCACCAUUUUCCUUGCAAGGAUAUUGUACUUCAAGUGAACACUUCAGCAGGGGCAACCCCCCCUCCAUCCCUCAGUAUACAACAUAAAGGCAAUGCCUCACAUGAAGGUCAAAGUCCCAUCAACGGGAGUUCCAAUGAAAGCUAAGCUUGAUUGAAGUUAAAAGUGUUAUUGUUGUAUGGCGUGAACAAUUGUAUCAAAAGCAUGUUUUCAAUAAGAGAAGGCUCGUCCCCAUGAAUGUCAAGAGAGUGGCCUUGUGCUCAAAAGUUAUGCUAUCUGAUUUAAACAAGCUCCAGGAGCAAUGAAUGCCUAAUACAAAGCAUGAGGUUAAACUUGUAUGUCCUGUGAAUACCGAUGCAGUCAAGAAAUACUUUGUUAAAAUGAAAAAGCUCGAUAAGUCGCAAACCUGAAAAGGCGGCUUAGGCAAAAAAAAAAGAGCGUCUCGAUGGACUGAAAACCCAAAAGGGCGGCCCAUGCAAAAGUUAGAGACAUAUAUAAAAAAAAAUGUGUUUAUCCUGAUAGGUUGAAACCCGCAAGGGCGAUCUAUGCAAAAGUUAAGCAUCAUGACAAAGUAACUGCAUCUGGUCGGACAUGAUUCAUAUGGGGCAUUUCAGCCGUCAAAAGACUUCCGACUCAUGGCAAGGUAAUUGCAUCAAAUCAGAUAUGAUUCAUCUGGGGCAUCUUAGCUGUUAAAGGGCUUCCGAUCUGAAAUGUCUGCAAAUCAAAGACUCAAAAUAGUGGAAUUCAAAGUUGGUAGAGGAAACAGUGAUUAUUGUGUUCAACGUACCUUUUCCAUAUAAUUACCAUUUUUCCAAACUUUUAAAAUCUGUGGAACCACGCCUUUGGCAGGCCACCAUUCCAUUUACAUUAACUUGAGCUUAUGCCCAUUUAUUUGAAAUUCUCAUUUAUUCUAUUUUGCAAAUUUUCUUCUAUUUUUGAUGUUAAUAUGUAAAGCAAAAAAAAAAAUCUUUUAAAACUUUUUCAUGUCUUUUGAAAAGCAUAAACAACCAGUACAUGUUCUUUGAACUUAUGAGUAGGUGAAACAUACAUCAACAUCCGUCUCAAGGACAGUUAAACUCUGCAAGGUUGGCAUGACCAAAAGCUGAGAGAUGACCUCUGUAAAAAAAAAAAAAAAAAAAAAAAAAAAAAAAAAAAAACUCAUUAAGUCGAAAACCCGAAAGGGCGGCUUAAGCCAAAAACGAGCGUCCCGGUGGAUUGAAAACCCGAAAAGGCAGUCCAGGCAAAAAUUAGGGGCAUACAAAAAAAAAAAAAAAAAAAAAGACAAUAUUCCCGGUGGAUCGAAAACCCAAAAGGGCGGUCCAGGCAAAAGUUAGGGAUUUUCAAAAAACAAUAUAUACAAAAAAAAAUGAAAUAAAAAAAAUGGAAAAGACAGAGGCAUCACAGUUCCAAUGAGUCAAACAGAAGAAUACACCUUGAGUUUGGUUUACAAAUGGCGACUUCGGCCAGUGGUUUGAUUAAUGGCGACUUCUGCCAAAACAGGGGUUGAUAUCAUUCUAGUAGUUUGAUGAAUGGCAACCUCUACCUGCGGUCUGAUAAUUGGGUUUUACCCUUUCCUCUCAUCAGUGAUUGGAUAUCGAGCUUUACCCCGUCAGUGGUUUGAUUCAUCUCCAGUAAUACUAUCCCCAAUGAAGAUUGUCGAGUGUUUGUACUGCGAUGUCAGUCCGCCUUCCAUCUUACUUGUCUAGUCUUGACAGCUUCACUUGUUGUAUAGAGUCGUCUAAAUCAUGCAUUCAUACAGUCAUAUAUUCAUGUACUCAUACAUUCAUUCAUUUCAUAUAUACAUAUUCAUGCAUAUAAACAUUCUUGCACGCAUUGCAUGCAUAACAAAUACCAUUUAUACAUGAUUGCAUUGACUACCUUGUGUCUUACUUCAUUUGUAUCUCACAAAAACAUCGUCUCCAAUGUGUUUGACCCAGAAAUUUCACCCAGGGUCCUGUUUUGUCGUAUCCCUUCAAUUCAGUCUUCACUCAUUAUUGUGUCAAGCGAAUAGCUUGCAAACCUUUUUUGUUACCUGUGUGUCAAGCGAAUAGCUUGCAAACAUCUUUUGUUACAUGUGGGUCAAGUGAGUAGCUUGCAAUUAUCUGCUAUUACCUACGGGUCAAGCGAGUAGCUUGCAAAUAUCUUUUGUUACCUAUGCGUCAAGCGAGUAGCUUGCAAAUAUUUUUGUUUCAUGUGUGUCAAGUGAGUAGCUUGCAAACCUCUUUUGCUACCUAAGUGUCAAGCGAAUAGCUUGCAAACAACUUUUGCUUCAUUGUGUCAAGUGAAUAGCUUGCAAAAUACCUUCAGAGUCGGGUUGACACCCUGUCAAUUGCUUUUGAAUCAGGUUGAUACCUUGCAAUUGUUUUUGAAUCAGGUUAAUAGCCCGCAAAUACUUUUGUGUCAAACAACUACUUUACCAAUGUCUUUAUUUUUACCGUGUGUUUGCUAUCCCACAAUGUUAGUAAACCCUGUCGGUCCAUCAUGUCUUUACUUUCGCCACUCGUCGGCCAAUCAUGUCUUUACUUUCGCCACUGGUCGGCCAAUCAUGUCUUUACUUUCGCCACUCGUCGGCCAAUCAUGUCUUUACUUUCGCCACUCGUCGGCCAAUCAUGUCUUUACUUUCGCCACUCGUCGGCAAAUCAUGUCUUUACUUUCGCCACUCGUCGGCAAAUCAAUCAUGUCUUUACUUUCGCCACUCGUCGGCAAAUCAAUCAUGUCUUUACUUUCGCCACUCGUCGGCAAAUCAAUCAUGUCUUUACUUUCACCACUCGUCGGCAAUCAAUCAUGUCUUUACUUUCGUCUUGAAACAAUGUUAACAAACAUUAUCAUUCAUAGUUCAGUUGUUCCAAGUUAUCUCACAGCAAUCUUAAGCAUUACCUAUCAUUUCUUUCCCCAGUGAUAUUUAUCCAAUUGUCCCCCAAUCAGUCUUUUAUGCAUCAUCUUUACAUUCAUGCUUGUAUCAUGUGCAGUCAUAUCAUCACAUUCAUCAGCAUCGCAUAUCUGGCAUUUCAAACGGUCCAAAUUGGCGUCUUUUUAUAUUUAAGUCUCUUCGACCCUUUGGUUUAAAAGUUUUCCCUUUUAAAACCUUCGUGACGAAGAAACUUAAAUAGGGGCAUCUGUCAUACCCCAAAUUUGGACCAUUUAAAAUCUUUUUGUCCAUAUUUAAAAAUAGUCCACAUUCUCUUCUAUUUGUUUUUUUUACCAUUUAAAACUCGUGUUUUUCUUCUUUAAUCAUUUUAAAAAAACUUUUAUCUGCAUUUUUAUAACUGUUGGAGCGCAUUUUAUAAUCUUGUUAGUCAUAAUAAUCAAGUCAUUUUAAAAGGUUUAAUCAUAUUUUAAAAAUCGCGUCCUUUUAAUCAUUUCAACCGAAAUUUCGGCAGGAAGGAUACUUUGAAGUACCUCAUGUCAGGUUUCGAAAGGACUUUUUAUUUUUUAUAUUUUAGUUUGUUUAUUAGUAUUUUUAUUUUAUUAAUUUUUUUUUUUUUUUAAAAAAAAAAACAAAGAAAGGAAAGUCACGUGAGUGACUUUCUUUCUUCCUUCCUCUUUUCUUUUCUUUUUCUUAUUUAUUUAUUUAUUUCUUUGUUAAAGUCUUUUUCUCCAAGUCUCAGCUGCAGGGACAUUUUGGUCUUUGUUUUGUACCAGAGCCAACCCUAGUUUGUCACUAUAAAAACCCUGUCAAUCAUUGAGAAAUGGGUCAGAGAAAAAAUCACUGUAGCAGCUGCAGCAACCACCAUAAGAAACCCUAAUCUUUCAUCUCUCCCAACUUUUUCAGAUCAAAGAAAAAAUAAAAAAAUACACAACAAUCAUCAUGAAUAUUCAUAGCCAUGCAUCAUGAACAUUAUCCUCUUCCAUUCCAGGAACCAAAAUUCUUCAUAAUAAUAAACCAACAAAAACACUUUCUCACAAAAAUCAUCAAUAAACAAGUCACAUAACACCACAAUCACAAACAACAUCACACAAUCACAACAAAAAAAAAAACUUGCGCCGGACCGGAUUCAGGGGAGGAAACCGAACCGGAAAAGGAAAGAAACGGAACGGAGGAAGCCACCAGACCAAAGGGAGAAAACUGGAUCGGAGAGAGAGAGAGGUAGUUUUUUUUUGCUCAUUUUCUUUGAAUAUUCUUUGUUAGAUCUAGGCUUGUAGAAGCUUGUUUUCAAAAAUCUAAGUUGGGAUUCAUGCAAAACAAGAAAAAGGAUUUCUAAAAACGUAAAAAAAUUUCAAAACGGAGGAGUUUUGGUUGCUCCGGCGCGGCGGCGCCGCCUGUUGGCCGGCAGCCACCACGCCGGAAAGUCAUAGCUUGGCCGGAGAAGAAGGCUGCAAUUGCAGACCUUCUCUCACUAGAAAUUUUUAGAGAGAGGGAGGAAAGGAAAAAUAGAAAAAAACGGUCCCUAUUGCCUUUUAUAAGCAUGUGUGAACCGGUCUGGUUCACUUGAACCGGACCGGUCCAUUUGAUUCCUU